GAAAAAAGUGGGCGAGGAGGAGCGUUGAAAAUUUCGUGACAAGUAGUUUCCGUGCGCCCGAGAGCGUGUGAAUUGCUCCUAAUUACCGUGUCCGAUUCUCUUAAACUCAGGACGCGCAUCGGUCUGUCCGACCUUCCCGGCAAGAGACAAAGUCACUGCUGGGAGGCCCCCUCGGACAGUUUUCAGUUUUAACUUUCGCCUUAUUCUCGUCUUUUCUUGAUGUCACGGCCCUGAGGAACAGCUCGUUCUGCAGAAGAGGUAACAGGUUUCAGAUUUUGUUUCCUUUUUGAAAGGCAACAUCUGGAAUUAAUGCCGCGGCCCUCGGGCGAGUCGCCCUCGGUUUCUGUAGCUCUGAUUUUAUCUUUGUGUCUUUUCCCCUCCAAUUUCUAAAGUUCUGUUUUUCCCUCUAAUUCUGUUUUUCCCUCUAAUUUCUAAUGUUCUGUCACUCUCGUUUUUGUUCUCUACUUUUC
Molecule: long non-coding RNA, 470 nt
Filed under: Pan troglodytes (chimpanzee)
Lineage: Eukaryota; Metazoa; Chordata; Mammalia; Primates; Hominidae
Description: long non-coding RNA NONPTRT000255
Source: RNAcentral